This 253-nucleotide ribosomal RNA is filed under the name uncultured bacterium. RNAcentral's name for it is "partial 16S ribosomal RNA". It matches the Rfam family "Bacterial small subunit ribosomal RNA", at positions 524 to 776 of the family's 1533-position model. The record is from RNAcentral.
GACAGAGGGUGCAAACGUUGUUCGGAAUUACUGGGCGUAAAGCGCGUGUAGGCGGCUACGUAAGUCGGGCGUGAAAUCCCACGGCUCAACUGUGGAAGAGCACUCGAAACUGUGUAGCUAGAGUCCUGGAGAGGAAAGUGGAAUACUUGGUGUAGAGGUGAAAUUCGUAGAUAUCAAGUGGAACACCAGUGGCGAAGGCGGCUUUCUGGACAGUGACUGACGCUGAGACGCGAAAGCGUGGGGAGCAAACAGG